GGGCGACGAAAUCCGAGGCUCGAUGCAGCGCGUCACGAAUUGUUGUCGGUUUAGACAGGUUCAACUCUUUCCUGAAUUCUGACUUGUACCAGAGAGCUUUCUUCAAAGCUGAGAGAGCUGCUACGUCGGUAAUUCCUUCGACCUUGGCUAGCGUUGAUUUGAAAGUCUUGAGGAAAUCUCUUAACGGCUCGGUGGGUUGUUGAGAUAAAGACCACAGAUCCGCGUCGGAAGUUCCGGGGUCGAUGAGCACGG
This 252-nucleotide long non-coding RNA is filed under the name Arabidopsis lyrata. Its description in RNAcentral is "long non-coding RNA (ALYR_LNC003340)". Lineage: Eukaryota; Viridiplantae; Streptophyta; Magnoliopsida; Brassicales; Brassicaceae. The record is from RNAcentral.